Molecule: non-coding RNA, 234 nt
Organism: Vicia faba (fava bean)
Lineage: Eukaryota; Viridiplantae; Streptophyta; Magnoliopsida; Fabales; Fabaceae
Source: the annotation of a GenBank genome assembly
AUGACGAACUCGCUGGAAAACCUUCAUCACCAGUUAGGAGCUGCCAGAGUACCUGCGAUUGUUGUUUUGAAACCGUCGGAGCUCCCGACGUCACAUACGCAUCUCACGUCGGAACAAUCGGAGGUUCCAUAUGUUUACUUUAUUAUAUGUUUAGUGGGUAGUAAGUACAUGCCGGAUAUAUCAUCACACAGUUUGUCUAUUAUUUGCUUUUUUUACAUUUAUAAAUCAAAAUAA